GUGCUCACUUUGGCAGCACAGAUACUAAAAUUGGAAGGACAGAGAGAAGACUAGCACGGCCCCUGUGCAAGGAUGACACGCGAAUUCGUAAAGCAUUCCAUAUUUUU
This is a small nuclear RNA of Loxodonta africana (African savanna elephant), 107 nucleotides long. The record is from Ensembl. Lineage: Eukaryota; Metazoa; Chordata; Mammalia; Proboscidea; Elephantidae.